CAAGGGUGGCGGCGUGCCUAUACCGCGAGUCUCUUGGACUCCAAAAGGAGUGAGCGGCGGACCGGUGAGGAACACGUGGGCAAUCUGCCCAUUGGACUGGAAUAACGCCUGGAAACGGGUGCUAAGGCCAGAUAGGCACAGAAGAGGCCUCUCUUUUGUGGGAAAGAUGCUGUGGCAUCGCCAGUGGAGGAGCCCGCGGCGCAUUAGCUAGUUGGAGGGGUAAAGGCCCACCAAGGCGACGAUGCGUAGCCGACCUGAGAGGGUGAACGGCCACACUGGGACUGAGACACGGCCCAGACUCCUACGGGAGGCAGCAGUAGGGAAUCUUCCGCAAUGGGCGCAAGCCUGACGGAGCAACGCCGCGUAAGCGAAGAAGGCCUUCGGGUUGUAAAGCUUAUUCACUCGGGAAGAGCGGGUGGGAGAGGGAAUGCUCCCACCGAGACGGUACCGGGAGAGGAAGCCCCGGCAAACUACGUGCCAGCAGCCGCGGUAAU
RNAcentral lists this ribosomal RNA (494 nucleotides) under uncultured bacterium. RNAcentral describes it as "bacterial SSU rRNA". It matches the Rfam family "Bacterial small subunit ribosomal RNA", at positions 37 to 524 of the family's 1533-position model. The record is from RNAcentral.